GCGCUCGUAGCUCAAGUGGAUAGAGCAACGGAUUUCUAAUCCGUAGGUUGGGGGUUCGAGUCCCUCCGAGCGCGCCA
This 77-nucleotide transfer RNA is filed under the name Candidatus Fischerbacteria bacterium RBG_13_37_8. RNAcentral's name for it is "tRNA-Arg". It matches the Rfam family "tRNA". Rfam says of the family: Transfer RNA (tRNA) molecules are approximately 80 nucleotides in length. Their secondary structure includes four short double-helical elements and three loops (D, anti-codon, and T loops). The record is from RNAcentral. Lineage: Bacteria; Candidatus Fischeribacteriota.